Molecule: ribosomal RNA, 1173 nt
Filed under: Bacillus subtilis
Lineage: Bacteria; Bacillati; Bacillota; Bacilli; Caryophanales; Bacillaceae
Description: bacterial SSU rRNA
Rfam family: Bacterial small subunit ribosomal RNA
Source: RNAcentral
AUGGUUCAGACAUAAAAGGUGGCUUCGGCUACCACUUACAGAUGGACCCGCGGCGCAUUAGCUAGUUGGUGAGGUAACGGCUCACCAAGGCAACGAUGCGUAGCCGACCUGGAGAGGGUGAUCGGCCACACUGGGACUGAGACACGGCCCAGACUCCUACGGGAGGCAGCAGUAGGGAAUCUUCCGCAAUGGACGAAAGUCUGACGGAGCAACGCCGCGUGAGUGAUGAAGGUUUUCGGCUAGUAAAGCUCUGUUGUUAGGGAAGAACAAGUGCCGUUCAAAUAGGGCGGCACCUUGACGGUAAUAACCAGAAAGCCACGGCUAACUACGUGCCAGCAGCCGCGGUAAUCGUAGGUGGCAAGCGUUGUCCGGAAUUAUUGGGCGUCGCGGGCUCGCAGGCGGUUUCUUAAGUCUGAUGUGAAAGCCCCCGGCUCAACCGGGGAGGGUCAUUGGAAACUGGGGAACUUGAGUGCAGAAGAGGAGAGUGGAAUUCCACGUGUAGCGGUGAAAUGCGUAGAGAUGUGGACGGAACACCAGUGGCGAAGGGACUCUCUGGUCUGUAACUGACGCUGACGAGCGAAAGCGUGGGGAGCGAACAGGAUUACAUACCCUGGUAGUCCACGCCGUAAACGAAGAAUGCUAAGUGUUAGGGGGUUUCCGCCCCUUAGUGCUGCAGCUAACGCAUAAGCACUCCGCCUGGGGAGUACGGUCGCAAGACUGAAACUCAAAGGAAUUGACGGGGGCCCGCACAAGCGGUGGAGCAUGUGGUUUAAUUCGAAGCAACGCGAAGAACCUUACCAGGUCUUGACCUACUCUGACAAUCCAGAGAUAGGACGUCCCCUUCGGGGGCAGAGUGACAGGUGGUGCAUGGUUGUCGUCAGCUCGUGUCGUGAGAUGUUGGGUUAAGUCCCGCAACGAGCGCAACCCUUGAUUAAGUUGCCAGCAUUCAGUUGGGCACUCUAAGGUGACUGCCGGUGACAAACCGGAGGAAGGUGGGGAUGACGUCAAAUCAUCAUGCCCCUUAUGACCUGGGCUACACACGUGCUACAAUGGACAGAACAAAGGGCAGCGAAACCGCGAGGUUAAGCCACUACCACAAAUCUGUUCUCAGUUCGGAUCGCAGUCUGCAACUCGACUGCGUGAAGCUGGAAUCGCUAGUAAUCGCGGAUCAGC